RNAcentral lists this ribosomal RNA (480 nucleotides) under uncultured bacterium. RNAcentral describes it as "partial 16S ribosomal RNA". It matches the Rfam family "Bacterial small subunit ribosomal RNA", at positions 28 to 523 of the family's 1533-position model. The record is from RNAcentral.
GACGAACGCUGGCGGCGUGCUUAACACAUGCAAGUCGAACGAUGAACCCGGAGCUUGCUCCGGCGGAUUAGUGGCGAACGGGUGAGUAACACGUGAGUAACCUGCCCUUGACUCUGGGAUAACUGCUAGAAAUGGUAGCUAAUACCGGAUACGACCCUCGGUGGCAUCACCAGGGGGUGGAAAGAAUUUCGGUCAAGGAUGGACUCGCGGCCUAUCAGCUAGUUGGUGAGGUAACGGCUCACCAAGGCGACGACGGGUAGCCGGCCUGAGAGGGUGACCGGCCACACUGGGACUGAGACACGGCCCAGACUCCUACGGGAGGCAGCAGUGGGGAAUAGUGCACAAUGGAGGCAACUCUGAUGCAGCAACACUGCGUGAAGGAUGAAGGUUUUCGGAUCGUAAACUUCUUUUAUCUGGGAAUAAUCUUGAAGGUACCAGAUGAAUAAGCACCGGCUAACUACGUGCCAGCAGCCGCCAUAA